This 343-nucleotide ribosomal RNA is filed under the name uncultured Anoxybacillus sp. RNAcentral describes it as "bacterial SSU rRNA". It matches the Rfam family "Bacterial small subunit ribosomal RNA", at positions 1039 to 1382 of the family's 1533-position model. Lineage: Bacteria; Bacillati; Bacillota; Bacilli; Caryophanales; Anoxybacillaceae. The record is from RNAcentral.
UGGUGCAUGGUUGUCGUCAGCUCGUGUCGUGAGAUGUUGGGUUAAGUCCCGCAACGAGCGCAACCCUCGACCUUAGUUGCCAGCAUUCAGUUGGGCACUCUAAGGUGACUGCCGGCUAAAAGUCGGAGGAAGGUGGGGAUGACGUCAAAUCAUCAUGCCCCUUAUGACCUGGGCUACACACGUGCUACAAUGGGCGGUACAAAGGGUCGCGAACCCGCGAGGGGGAGCCAAUCCCAAAAAAGCCGCUCUCAGUUCGGAUUGCAGGCUGCAACUCGCCUGCAUGAAGCCGGAAUCGCUAGUAAUCGCGGAUCAGCAUGCCGCGGUGAAUACGUUCCCGGGCCUU